RNAcentral lists this ribosomal RNA (447 nucleotides) under uncultured bacterium. RNAcentral's name for it is "partial 16S ribosomal RNA". It matches the Rfam family "Bacterial small subunit ribosomal RNA", at positions 29 to 523 of the family's 1533-position model. The record is from RNAcentral.
AACGAACGCUGGCGGCAGGCCUAAAACAUGCAAGUCGAACGAACCUUCGGGUUAGUGGCGCACGGGUGAGUAACACGUGGGAAUGUGCCUCUGGGUGCGGAACAACGUCGGGAAACUGACGCUAAUACCGCAUAAUGUCUACGGACCAAAGAUUUAUUGCCCAGAGAUCAGCCCGCGUCUGAUUAGCUAGUUGGUGAGGUAAUGGCUCACCAAGGCGACGAUCAGUAGCUGGUCUGAGAGGAUGAUCAGCCACACUGGAACUGAGACACGGUCCAGACUCCUACGGGAGGCAGCAGUUAGGAAUAUUGGACAAUGGGGGCAACCCUGAUCCAGCCAUGCCGCGUGUGUGAAGAAGGCCUUAGGGUUGUAAAGCACUUUCGGCUGUGAAGAUAAUGGCAGUAGCAGAAGAAGAAGCUCCGGCUAACUUCGUGCCAGCCGCCGCAGUAA